CAAUUACUACAGAGAGUCGCGCUACCUGUUCACACAGGCAGUGAGGAAAGUACGGACACCCCAUUCUUUGAAUGGAAGUGAGUGAUUGGUAACGCCAAUCGCGCAAGGACACGCUCCUUGCGUAGGGAAAGUGUCACAGAAACAAAACAGCCCCCUUAUGGGAGCGAUAGGUGAAAUGUAGGGAAAUAAGCCCCCCUUCACUCUUAUGGUGACAUAGGAGUGUGACAAACCCCACUCGGUGCAAGGCCGUGUUCUGUUUUUACAGAAAGUGCCGCUUGAGAUAGCGUGGCAACACACUAUCCAGAUAAAUGGCUCUCGCCUGCUUGCAGGUACAGAAUCCGUCUUAUCGUAGUAACAAAAUA
Molecule: RNase P RNA, 362 nt
Filed under: Candidatus Spechtbacteria bacterium SB0662_bin_43
Lineage: Bacteria; Candidatus Spechtiibacteriota
Description: RNase P RNA component class A
Rfam family: Bacterial RNase P class A
About the family: Ribonuclease P (RNase P) is a ubiquitous endoribonuclease, found in archaea, bacteria and eukarya as well as chloroplasts and mitochondria.
Source: RNAcentral